Molecule: transfer RNA, 89 nt
Filed under: Aspergillus avenaceus
Lineage: Eukaryota; Fungi; Ascomycota; Eurotiomycetes; Eurotiales; Aspergillaceae
Description: tRNA-Pro
Source: RNAcentral
GCCCGGGUGGUCUAGUGGUAUGAUUCUCGCUUAGGGUUUACCCCAAGCAUAUUUGCGAGAGGUCCCGCGUUCGAUCCGCGGCUCGGGCC